ACUCAAAUGAAUUGACGGGGGCCCGCACAAGCGGUGGAGCAUGUUGUUUAAUACGUCACUAACCGUAGAACCUUACCAGGGUUUGACAUCCGCUGCUAUGCCAUGAAAGUGGCCUUCUCCGCAAGGGGACAGCGAGACAGGUGUUGCAUGGCUGUCGUCAGCUCGUGUCGUGAGAUGUUGGGUUAAGUCCCGCAACGAGCGCAACCCUCAUCCCAUGUUGCCAGCGGGUAAUGCCGGGAACUCUUGGGAAACUGCCCGUGUAAGCGGGAGGAAGGUGAGGAUGACGUCAAGUCAGCAUGGCCCUUACAUCCUGGGCUACAAACAUGCUACAAUGGACGGUAGACAAACGGAGCCGAGAGGGCGACCUGGAGGCAACCCGAAAAAUCCGUUCUCAGUUCGGAUCGCAGGCUGCAACUCGCCUGCGUGAAGCCGGAAUCGCUAGUAACCGCAGGUCAGCUAAACUGCGGUGAAUACGUUCCCGGGCCUUGUACACACCGCCCGU
This 502-nucleotide ribosomal RNA is filed under the name uncultured bacterium. RNAcentral's name for it is "partial 16S ribosomal RNA". It matches the Rfam family "Bacterial small subunit ribosomal RNA", at positions 899 to 1397 of the family's 1533-position model. The record is from RNAcentral.